Molecule: ribosomal RNA, 305 nt
Filed under: uncultured bacterium
Lineage: Bacteria
Description: bacterial SSU rRNA
Rfam family: Bacterial small subunit ribosomal RNA
Source: RNAcentral
ACUCCUACGGGAGGCAGCAGUGGGAAUAUUGCACAAUGGGAAAGCCAUCGAUGCAGCCAUGCCGCGUGUGUGAAGAAGGCCAUUCGGGCUUGUUAAAGACACUUUUCAGUAGGGAGGAAGGUGGUGUCGUUAAUAGCGGCAUCAUUUGACGUUAGCAACAGAAGAAGCACCGGCUAACUCCGUGCCAGCAGCCGCGGUAAUACGGAGGGUGCGAGCGUUAAUCGGAAUUACUGGGCGUAAAGCGCAUGCAGGUGGUUUGUUAAGUCAGAUGUGAAAGCCCGGGGCUCAACCUCGGAACUGCAUUU